This 374-nucleotide unclassified non-coding RNA is filed under the name uncultured bacterium. RNAcentral's name for it is "contains 16S-23S intergenic spacer region". The record is from RNAcentral.
UCCGGUUUGGCACCGGCAGUCUCCCUAGAGUUCCCGGCAUUACCCGCUGGCAACUAAGGACAGGGGUUGCGCUCGUUGCGCCACUUAAGGCAACACCUCACGGCACGAGCUGACGACAGCCAUGCACCACCUGUGCAGGCUCCGAAGAGCGUCGUCUUUCAACGAUUUCACCCUGCAUGUCAAACCCAGGUAAGGUUCUUCGCGUUGCAUCGAAUUAAACCACACGCUCCGCUGCUUGUGCGGGUCCCCGUCAAUUCCUUUGAGUUUUAGUCUUGCGACCGUACUCCCCAGGCGGGCUACUUAAUGCGUUAGCUUCGGCACAGGAGGGUCGCUCCCCCGGGCACCUAGUGCCCAUCGUUUACGGCGUGGACUAC